Molecule: long non-coding RNA, 312 nt
Filed under: Medicago truncatula (barrel medic)
Lineage: Eukaryota; Viridiplantae; Streptophyta; Magnoliopsida; Fabales; Fabaceae
Description: lncRNA gene12638
Source: RNAcentral
AAAAUGUACUAGAGCUUACUAGACCAGCUUCAGAGAAAAAUCUCAGCAAGUCUGAAGAGCAAAAGCAUUUGAUUUACGAGCAGUUAAACACCUUAAAUGCUAUUAUAUUGUAGCAAGUAGGCUGCCUGAAUCACCACUCGAUAAUUACAAUUUAAGACAAUAAUAUAUCAACCAUACCAUACCAAUUAGAUCCGCUAGAUUUUUAAAAAUACACAUCAUAGCAAUAAUUGGUGAAAGUUGAUUAAUUUUGUUAUUGGGUUCUGCAUUCAUCUCAAAGGCACAUGAUUUAUAAGCCAAAGAGCCAAACUCCAG